This 493-nucleotide long non-coding RNA is filed under the name Homo sapiens (human). RNAcentral describes it as "long intergenic non-protein coding RNA 2500". Lineage: Eukaryota; Metazoa; Chordata; Mammalia; Primates; Hominidae. The record is from RNAcentral.
UGAGCAAGUGCAUGUGUGGGAACCCUCCUGCCUGCUGGGCGCUCAGCUAGGAGUCCCAGAAUACCAGACACCAUUAUAUUCAAAUACCACAAAAGAUGUGAGAAUUCAAACUGAGCCAUAGCUCCAUCUCCUGGAAGUGUAUAUCAGCAGCAACAAGAGUAAAGACCCAGAGGCAUGAGAAACACUUCCUCACUGAAGCACUCACGUUCCGACUGUGUGCAAAAGACCUUUUGUGUCUCACUCACUGAGGGAGAUUGUUCUUCACUCAAUCAAUGAGAAGAACAGACGUCUUAGAAAACCUUCAGUACCUGGGGGAAAUGAAUGAGCUCAAACACAAGGGAAAGUCAGCCCGUGUUCAAGAUAAGCCCAUCUCAGGAAGGCAGGCACCAUGCUCCUGAGACUACUUUACCCCCAGAUAAGAAAGCCCUUAUUGAUAAGCCAAAAUCACAGAUUAUUUUAUUAAGCUCAUAUUUUAAAAGAAUGCAAAGCUUCC